GAUGAACGCUGGCGGCGCGCCUAACACAUGCAAGUCGAACGAUUAAAGCACCUUCGGGUGUGUAUAAAGUGGCGAACGGCUGAGUAACACGUGUGCAACCUGCCCCUCUCAUUGGGAUAGCCACGGGAAACCGUGGAUAAUACCGAAUACUUCGGGACUUCCGCAUGGAAGACUCGAGAAAGCUCCGGCGGAGAGGGAUGGGCCCGCGGCCUGUUAGCUUGUUGGUGGGGUAAUGGCCUACCAAGGCAAUGAUGGGUAGCUGGGUUGAGAGACCGACCAGCCAGAUUGGGACUGAGACACGGCCCAGACUCCUACGGGAGGCAGCAGUGGGGAAUCUUGCACAAUGGGCGAAAGCCUGAUGCAGCGACGCCGCGUGCGGGAUGAAGGCCUUCGGGUUGUAAACCGCUUUCAGCAGGGACGAGGCGAAAGUGACGGUACCUGCAGAAGAAGCCCCGGCUAACUACGUG
RNAcentral lists this ribosomal RNA (467 nucleotides) under uncultured bacterium. Its description in RNAcentral is "partial 16S ribosomal RNA". It matches the Rfam family "Bacterial small subunit ribosomal RNA", at positions 28 to 507 of the family's 1533-position model. The record is from RNAcentral.